CGGGGGAGGCGGCAGCAGCUGCGGUGAGGGUGGUGUGUGAGGUGUUGUAUCUGUGGAAGUGGAGGUGGUGAGUGCAGCAGCGGUUCCGGAAGUGGUGUGGCCGGCGGAGGCGGAUGUGACGUCAUCGGUGGGGUCUCCGGCCGUGUCUUCAUGGUCAAUGGCGGCGGGGCAGACAACAUCAGGUGAAGAUGUGCGUGAUUUUAGCAAGGUGCUGAAAAAUAAGUUCAGAUCAAAGAAAUACUUUGCCAAACAUCCUCGCUUGGGUUAUUUACCAGUACAAACAGUUCUAGAAGGCGAGAACCUUGAGACUGGAUCUGUUGGAGUUGCACACAGCGCAACGCGUCUUUGAUCAACACAAAUUGACACAAACCGAGCAACUUCUGAAUGUGACUGAAGUAAUCAACUGUUUAACGUCCAUUUAUGAUGUUUUGGAACAAAACCACAAGGACUUGGUCAAUGUGCCACUCUGUGUCGACAUGUGUCUGAACUGGCUGCUGAACGUAUUUGAUACAUAUCUUCAAACAAGUAGCUGAACCCACAGAUUUAUGUGACCAACGAAGCCUGAGCCUUUUGCUUCACGAUGCAGUCCAGAUCCCUCGGCAGCUGGGUGAGGUAGCUUCAUUUCGAGGCAGCACCAUUGAACCAAGUGUCCGCAGUUGCUUCCAACAUGCACUCAGACAUGAACUAAUGGAUAAGGAGGAGACAAUCAUAACUGCUUUGGAAUCAGCCCAUAGAAGGGCCAGAGGAGCCGCGCUGACACCUUCAUGUUUAAACAGAGGACACUUUUCUGCGUGCCACGAGAUGUAUAUCAGCCAUACCAAAAUGCUGCCUUUGCCUGAGACAGGGAAGAUCAACUGACUUUGGGGAAAUGGAGAAUCAUUCAUGAAUCCAGUUACUUUCUGAUCUGACAGCUUUGUGGCAUCUGAAUGGAUAACAAUUUGAUCUGAUGUUGCCAGACCCGGUGAGCUAUUCCAGCAACUUUGUUUUAGUUCCUGAUGAGCUGCGACUUUGUAUUUGACUGAUUUCCAACAUCAAAAGUUCUAAAGGUUGGAAGAGAUUGGUUUACCUUGACUUCCUAGCUUGAAAAUGUGCCUUUUAUGCAAAGAAACUGUACUCUGGGACAGUGGUUUUGCAGAUUUACCUGCAGGUCCAGCUGUGAAUCGGAGUUGAAGUAGUUGCAAGCACUGAUGAAUAGGCAGCUAUUUAGCCUCUGGAUGGAAUCCUGUGGAAGCGACGAGGGUCUAGGUCAUUGACUCGAGAACUGAUGAGGGAACGGCUUGCCCCAACCAGCUUCCCUUCAGGGGAACGCCAGCCUCAGGUCGCUCCCCUCAAGGGGUAUGUCAUCCUGACCUUGCUCCUCUCAUGCGUAGGCAGCUACAUCUUUCUCCCCUCUGGCACAUAAUAGACCGGUGGCAAACCUGGUGGGAUGUCACUUUCCAUGAGCGGUUGGCUAACCAGAACCCAGCAUGUGUACUAAGCAGCAGUGUCACUUGGGAGGUGAUGAUCUCUGUUACCAUUGGCAACCAACCUACGAUUAUUGCUCGAUCUCGGACCAGGAUUGAGUGAAACACCAUUAGCACGCCACUUCCCCUUCUUGAUGUUGCACAUUGAAUGCCUUUGAAAGCCUGUUACAUUUCUUAAUGGUGACACCCCUGCCCACUGUUGACUCAAUACCAGUUGUUGUGGGAUGAUGUAUGUGUACGUCAGUUGCUCAAUUGGGGACUUUAACUCGCAAUGAAGUUGGGAAGUUAUGCACAAGUCUUCUCACCAUGGAUUUAAUCUGGCUCUAAGCAGAAUUGUAGGUGGUGCCAUCCUUCCACCUGAUUAAAUGUCCUCUAUUUUCAAACUUGCCACAAGGGAAAGUACAAAAUCCCGCUGUUUUUGUUAUCAAUUCAUGGUUUUUAAUUUUGCAAUCAGUGUCGUAAGCAGCAGAUUAGUUCAGUCCUUGUGAAAUUGAAGGCAAUGCAACACUUUAAUUGGUCACUUUUUAACAUGGUAGGUUCUCAGACUGAGGAAAUGGUGAAUGUUGUUGAUCUUUAAUGCAAUAUAAUGGAGGAGAGAAAAAUCUGGACUAUAGAGCCCACAGGAAGAAAAUUAUAAUCUGUCAGUGCUGCCUCCAUUAGAACAAUGCCAAGUAAAUACCCGUCCCCAUAUCGAACAAUAGAAGUUUCCUGCAUAUCAGAACAUACCCAUUGAGUGGGGAACUGAUGAAUAAUGCAGGAGCACCAUCGGAUUGAAAUACUUUUAUUCUAAGAAUUUCAGAACAUGCUGGGAUUUUUAUAGCAAGCAAUACUUGUGAUGGAAUAUUCUUUUAAUGUCAAAAUGCUGCAACAGUUUGGAAGAACCAAUAUUAAAUGGAUAUUAUUGCAGAUAAUAUAUGUGAAUUAAAUAAAAUUGUUUGCUUAAAGUAUUUUGUAAUUCGAAUUGAAUGUCGCAUUUUUGUAUCUUAGUUGUCUUCUGUUUCUAAUUUUUCUUAUUUUUAUAGAGCAGGUAUUGUCCUGGUCACUUGUAAUGCUGCCAAUUCAAGAUUAACUACAUGGAUGGUCUCUAUCAGUUGCUUAAUCCCCGAUGUCAGUUUGCAAUCCUGAAUCCAAGAUUGUCACUUCAUCUUUCAAUUCUGUGUAUAAUCAAAGUCUGAGAUCAACAGCUUUCAUUUUACUAUCUGGAAGUCAAUCAGUGCAGAUUUUGUUUGUAAACAAGCGUUCUGUCUGUAAAACUGCUUCGUUUAAUUAGAUUAGUUAGUUAAGAUUCAUUUUAAUGAAAUGAAUCAUAACUAAGCUUCAUCUCUUCCUCAUUCUGAUUCUGAACACAUGGUAUGUCACGCAAUGGCAAUUCAAUUUUGCAUUGGUGCCGGUUCAAACCAUGUGUUUUCCAACUACAGAUUGAUACAGAUGAAAUUGUACCAUUUCCUUUUUAGUACCAUUCUCACCAUACAGUGUUUCUGUUCAUUACGUUUCUGUGCACAGUUCUGAACCAGUCCCCUUGCCCCUGAGCUUGCCAAAUGUCUCAAUGUUGUCAUGACAUUGUCAAAGAAUUCAUUGCUUGGUAGAUUCAGAGAUAAAUUAAUGUAACCUAGUAUGUGUUAAUGCCUCUGCUGUAAUCGGGCGAAACACUCAGGCCAUUGUCUUAAUUUUUCUCUCUUGUAUUUAUAUUGAAAUGUUGACCAUGCCAUUUGCUCCACUUAGUGGAAUUGGACUUGUUACAGAAGUGCUGAACGUCAACUUGCCAAAUACAAUUGGAUGAAAAGUAUGAGGCCAAUCAGUCUCUUGAAACACUUUCUCUAUGCAAUCAACAUAACAACAUUCAUUGACAAUGAAAAAUUACGUACGUGCUUCAGAAGAUUAGAUUUGAAACAGAGAUUUGUGAAUAUGAAUGGAGCUAUAUAUGUCCCCAUCUCAGGCACCAACCUCAAGUUCACCUGGACUAUCUACAACACCUCUGUCACCUUCCUGGACCUCUCUGUCUCCAUCUCAGAACCUAACCCGGAAGAGAGAGCCCAGAGAAUUGCCAAAGCUGUCCUCAAACAGUCAACAGAAGUGAAGGAAAAUUGGGAGCAAUUGAAAAUCCAUGCAAGCAACUGGCAGAAACAGGUGGAAAAGGCAUUGGAGAAACUUCAAGAACUGCAGAAAGCUCUGGAUGAUCUUGAGGCUCGUGAUAACAGCUGAGGAGGUCCACACUGAUUGGCAACCUGUGGGUGACCUGCUUAUUGACUCAUUGCAGGAUCACAUUGAUAAAACCAAAAUAAGUGCAAUUACAUUGCACUUCACUUAUGAACAGAUGUAACUGCAAUGUUGUAUCGAGACGAUCAGUAAUAUGAGUACUUAAGUAAUAUUGAUUGAAUGGUUGUUAACUUAAUUUGAAAAUUAAAACUUAGUUGAGCAUG
Molecule: long non-coding RNA, 3883 nt
Organism: Stegostoma tigrinum
Lineage: Eukaryota; Metazoa; Chordata; Chondrichthyes; Orectolobiformes; Stegostomatidae
Exons: 8
Source: RefSeq, a predicted model, not a curated record